CAGCUGAAAGCUCUGAAGGAGACUGUGGAGCUUUACCUGUCUUCUGUUCUGCACAAUCAGCCUCCCAUAAUUAAUCUAAUCUCUUCAAAUGCAGCUGAGAAGCUGACUUCCUCAAAUACAAAGGGCUCCAAAGUUCCAUUUCAAGUGACAAGCACCAAGGUCUGGCAAAAUGUCUCAUUGGAGAAAGAGAAUUUUCACAUGGCCUUGAAAAAG
This is a long non-coding RNA of Catharus ustulatus (Swainson's thrush), 213 nucleotides long. RefSeq lists it as uncharacterized. The transcript has 2 exons. The record is from RefSeq and is a predicted model, not a curated record. NCBI's taxonomy places the organism in Eukaryota, Metazoa, Chordata, Aves, Passeriformes, Turdidae.